CCCGGCCUACGGGAGGCAGCAGUGAGGAAUAUUGGUCAAUGGGCUUACGCCUGAGCCAGCCAAGUCGCGUGAGGGAAGACUGCCCUAUGGGUUGUAAACCUCUUUUGUCAGGGAGCGAUUGGCGCUACGUGUAGCGUUAUCGAGAGUACCUGAAGAAAAAGCAUCGGCUAACUCCGUGCCAGCAGCCGCGGUAAUACGGAGGAUGCGAGCGUUAUCCGGAUUUAUUGGGUUUAAAGGGUGCGUAGGCGGAAUGCCAAGUCAGCGG
Molecule: ribosomal RNA, 265 nt
Filed under: uncultured bacterium
Lineage: Bacteria
Description: partial 16S ribosomal RNA
Rfam family: Bacterial small subunit ribosomal RNA
Source: RNAcentral